AAUUAGGCGACUUUGCUAUAAAUGGCAGCUAGCUCUACACUAUUUCGGGCAUUCGCUAACAAUCAGUGUGCAGAUAACUAGCGCAAACGUGCCGAGAUAUCUUGUUUAUUAUAAAAAUAAACGCUUGUGUUGUGCCAUGGCUUAUAUGGUGAUGACGUUUGAGAUUGUAAAUUUACGGGCCACAGAUGUGUCUAUGGUUUGAAACCCAGACAGCACGAAGCAUCUUGCCGACGUCAAAAUCAGAUCAACAGACUGGGACAUCAGCCUUCUCUUGGGAAUAGGCCAGAUAUGCCAUAACAAGAAAUGGUGUUUUGCCCCUGCGGUUGUGAAGAGGAUGCUGUGGAGGUGGCAGCAUGAACGUGUCACACAGACAUUGGCUAAACUACUCGGCUUCUACACUUGCCCUCAGAGUUCACAUAUGGUGACGUGCACAUGUGUCCAGUCAGGUUCAGACUGAUGCUGGUAACAAGAGGAGAACAUGCUAAUUGAUGCUGUGUUGCUGCCAGUCCACGGAUGUACACGAAUGGCUCACCUGGAGGAGGAGGGCGGUCAACGACAUUACUCAUUGACAACAAAUGUGCUCUACGAUGACAUUUCCAGCAUGUCCAACUCAUCAGCAUCAGGGGAGAUUCGGUGGAGGUGGUGCACCAUCCAGGACCAGUCAUGGGCCACCAAAACCUCUGCAAAAUCUACACUUCUUGUGAACCCUGUAGAAGACACUACAACCACAAAACUGCUAAUAAACCAUCACAUACUGCGUCACA
This is a long non-coding RNA of Engraulis encrasicolus (European anchovy), 764 nucleotides long. RefSeq lists it as uncharacterized. The transcript is spliced from 6 exons. The record is from RefSeq and is a predicted model, not a curated record. NCBI's taxonomy places the organism in Eukaryota, Metazoa, Chordata, Actinopteri, Clupeiformes, Engraulidae.